UCAUGACAAAUCGAAGAGUUCUCAUUUGUGCAAAUCUGCUCAAUGCUAAUAUCUGCACCUGCACUUCUGGGGUGUGGUAAAGCAGCCACCCAUGUACAAUAAGGGUGAAUCUCCUACAUCUCGGAAGGACAGAAGGCCUGAAAUCAGCAAAACCAGCUCAAGCAUUCCCCUGCCCUUUUGAUUUGGAAAAAAAGAUCGAUAUUUAUAAGAACUUCCUGUCGAGAAGAAAGAGAAAGAUCGCUCACUAACCAGAGGCUAAAGACAUUCACAGGCAUCUGAUAGACAACUUUGACACCUGAUCCCUGGGGACCUUAUGGAGUCGCUCAGAGUUCUUAAGAGACUUCCCUUACUUUAUCAUUCCAGAAAGAAUUGUCACAGCAAUAACCCCAUUGAAGCAUCUUAUGCCCAGACUCAAGUUCAAAAGCACUGAAAGGAGAAGAAACUGGAAAUUGGAGUCUCCAUUAAGAACUCUUGAGAUGCCGUGAUGCUAUAGUUGAGAACCAAAUGUGAGGAAGAAAAGACAUUGCUGAGAAACGAUUUGAGAAGAUGAACCAGUCAUACAAUUGGUGGAACUCACUUCUGGUACAAAUUCAAACUAACGUCAAUUUUCCUUUCAGUGCAAGUGAUAUCUCCACAAGGUCCUCAAGGAGUUCAGCUAGCUCUCUGAACAUGUCCUAUAAAGGAAACUUUGCAACUUGA
Long non-coding RNA from Felis catus (domestic cat), 699 nucleotides. RefSeq lists it as uncharacterized. The record is from RefSeq and is a predicted model, not a curated record. NCBI's taxonomy places the organism in Eukaryota, Metazoa, Chordata, Mammalia, Carnivora, Felidae. The transcript has 5 exons.